Non-coding RNA from Caenorhabditis elegans, 137 nucleotides. Lineage: Eukaryota; Metazoa; Nematoda; Chromadorea; Rhabditida; Rhabditidae. The record is from Ensembl.
CAGCAGCGAUAAAGCUGAGCCGUUUUUCCUUCUUUUGAGCUUCUUUUUUAUAAGCUAAAUUUUUGGGUCAAGUUUACAUACUUCACACCUUUCAAGUCAAUCGAAGAAGCACAUAGAAGGAGAAACAGAAGAAGCCU